GGGCAACACUGUUUAAAAAUGAUACAUAAACUGGGCAGAAACAAUGCACUCAGUUCUUCAAACCAGGGAGGAUACCAUUAAUACACAUGAGAAGGAAUCUCUUGAUAACCAUUGGUCUUACCCCUUAUAAGAGAUUGUGGCUCAUCGUUAAAAGACAAAGAAAAGCUUAUUUAGCAAAGAGAUUGUUCUUUGUUAAGAGCAAAAUGGCGAAGUUUAUUUUUUAAUUUGAAGGAAGAGACUGAAGAGUUCCUGCAAACCUUACCAUUUGAGCUGGCAUCAGAGUUGUCACAGCAGAAGUAGAAAGAAUCCAGCACUUGUGUCCCAGGGAACAAGCUUCUAGAAUUUUGGUCAUUAUGAGUGUGAUUCACUUGGUGAAUCAGUGGCUUUCUGUGAUUUCAAAUAAUGAUAACAAGCAUGGGAGGAAGGCAGCAGCAUUGUUCAGAGCAAUCAGUCUGUCAUUUGGGUGCUCAACUGAAUGAGGAGAAAACACAUCAAACCUGGAGAGUGGACAGCCAAGCACAUGUUGCUAUUGCCAUUCUUUCUCCUCUGUGGAUGUGGGAUUGAGGAAGGUAAAUUCCUGGAAUUGCUUCAGUUCACAAAGCAGUUUUCUAUUCAGAUUCUAUUCGAUCCAGUCAUCUUGCUCAGGAUUCCUAUAGUGGAAGGAUAAUUUACCAGCUGUCCUUUCUAAUCUCUCAUCUCCAAGUAUAGGUUUUUCACUAUAAACACUGGUCUCUUUCCAAUGCAUAGGUAAGAUUACGUUAUUUUCCUCCUGAUAACCAUUUUAUUUUCCCUAACAUCUCCAGAAUAAAUUACCUAUAUAGUAAACUCUUUGGCA
This 835-nucleotide long non-coding RNA is filed under the name Vulpes vulpes (red fox). RNAcentral describes it as "lncRNA (ENSVVUG00000002196.1)". Lineage: Eukaryota; Metazoa; Chordata; Mammalia; Carnivora; Canidae. The record is from RNAcentral.